RNAcentral lists this ribosomal RNA (248 nucleotides) under uncultured bacterium. RNAcentral's name for it is "partial 16S ribosomal RNA". It matches the Rfam family "Bacterial small subunit ribosomal RNA", at positions 524 to 767 of the family's 1533-position model. The record is from RNAcentral.
UACGAAGGGGCGUAGCGUUGCUCGGAAGUCACUGGGCGGUAAAGACGCACGUAGGCGGACUUUAAGUUCGGAGGUGAAAUCCUGGAGCUCAACUCCAGAACUGCCUUCGAUACUGAGAGUCUUCGAGUUCGGGAGAGGUGAGUGGAACUGCGAGUGUAGAGGUGAAAUCCGUAGAUAUUCGCAAGAACACCGGUGGCGAAGGCGGCUCACUGGCCCGAUACUGACGCUGAGGUGCGAAAGCGUGGGGA